UACGUAGGGGCCUAGCGUUGUCCGGAAUUAUUGGGCGUAAAGAGCUCGUAGGCGGUUCGGCAAGUCGGAUGUGAAAGCCCCGGGCUUAACCUGGGAAUGGCAUUUGGGACUGCAAGGCUUGAGUGCGGCAGAGGAGACUGGAAUUCCUGGUGUAGCAGUGAAAUGCGUAGAUAUCAGGAGGAACACCGAUGGCGAAGGCAGGUCUCUGGGCUGACACUGACGCUCAUGCACGAAAGCGUGGGGAGCGAAACAAGGAUUGAGAAACC
Molecule: ribosomal RNA, 266 nt
Filed under: uncultured bacterium
Lineage: Bacteria
Description: partial 16S ribosomal RNA
Rfam family: Bacterial small subunit ribosomal RNA
Source: RNAcentral